GAUGGUAAAGCUCAAGUGGUAGAGUGUAUACUUAGCAUGCAUGAAGUCCUGGGUUCAAUCCCCAGUACUUCCU
Molecule: transfer RNA, 73 nt
Filed under: Camelus bactrianus (Bactrian camel)
Lineage: Eukaryota; Metazoa; Chordata; Mammalia; Artiodactyla; Camelidae
Also listed under: 2 other names
Rfam family: tRNA
About the family: Transfer RNA (tRNA) molecules are approximately 80 nucleotides in length. Their secondary structure includes four short double-helical elements and three loops (D, anti-codon, and T loops).
Source: Rfam by way of RNAcentral